This 444-nucleotide ribosomal RNA is filed under the name Salmonella enterica. RNAcentral describes it as "bacterial SSU rRNA". It matches the Rfam family "Bacterial small subunit ribosomal RNA", at positions 199 to 638 of the family's 1533-position model. Lineage: Bacteria; Pseudomonadati; Pseudomonadota; Gammaproteobacteria; Enterobacterales; Enterobacteriaceae. The record is from RNAcentral.
ACCUUCGGGCCUCUUGCCAUCAGAUGUGCCCAGAUGGGAUUAGCUUGUUGGUGAGGUAACGGCUCACCAAGGCGACGAUCCCUAGCUGGUCUGAGAGGAUGACCAGCCACACUGGAACUGAGACACGGUCCAGACUCCUACGGGAGGCAGCAGUGGGGAAUAUUGCACAAUGGGCGCAAGCCUGAUGCAGCCAUGCCGCGUGUAUGAAGAAGGCCUUCGGGUUGUAAAGUACUUUCAGCGGGGAGGAAGGUGUUGUGGUUAAUAACCGCAGCAAUUGACGUUACCCGCAGAAGAAGCACCGGCUAACUCCGUGCCAGCAGCCGCGGUAAUACGGAGGGUGCAAGCGUUAAUCGGAAUUACUGGGCGUAAAGCGCACGCAGGCGGUCUGUCAAGUCGGAUGUGAAAUCCCCGGGCUCAACCUGGGAACUGCAUUCGAAACUGGCA